UCGAGAAUCUUCCGCAAUGGGCGAAAGCCUGACGGAGCGACACCGCGUGCAGGAUGAAGGCCUUCGGGUUGUAAACUGCUGUCACGCUAUAGGAAUGCCCUGUGGUUAAUAUCCACAGGAUUGACCAAAGCGAGAGGAAGCACCGGCUAACUCCGUGCCAGCAGCCGCGGUAAUACGGAGGGUGCUAACGUUGUUCGGAAUUACUGGGCAUAAAGCGCACGUAGGCGGUCUGCUAAGUCGGUCGUGAAAGCCCCCGGCUCAACCGGGGAAUUGCGUUCGAUACUGGCAGGCUCGAGGACGGUUGGGGUGAGUGGAACUCCAGGUGGAGCGGUGAAAUGCGUAGAUAUCUGGAGGAACACCGGUGGCGAAAGCGGCUCACUGGACCGUAACUGACGCUAAGGUGCGAAAGCUAGGGGAGCAAACGGGAUUAGAUACCCCUGUAGUCCCUGAGCGGGCUGGCAAGGCGCAU
Molecule: ribosomal RNA, 469 nt
Filed under: uncultured bacterium
Lineage: Bacteria
Description: bacterial SSU rRNA
Rfam family: Bacterial small subunit ribosomal RNA
Source: RNAcentral